AUUGAACGCUGGCGGCAUGCCUUACACAUGCAAGUCGAACGGUAACAGGUCUUCGGAUGCUGACGAGUGGCGAACGGGUGAGUAAUGCAUCGGAACGUGCCCAGUAGUGGGGGAUAGCCCGGCGAAAGCCGGAUUAAUACCGCAUACGACCUGAGGGUGAAAGGGGGGGAUCGCAAGACCUCUCGCUAUUGGAGCGGCCGAUGUCAGAUUAGCUAGUUGGUGGGGUAAAGGCCUACAAAGGCAACGAUCUGUAGUUGGUCUGAGAGGACGACCAGCCACACUGGGACUGAGACACGGCCCAGACUCCUACGGGAGGCAGCAGUGGGGAAUUUUGGACAAUGGGCGCAAGCCUGAUCCAGCAAUGCCGCGUGCAGGAAGAAGGCCUUCGGGUUGUGAACUGCUUUAGUCAGGGAAGAAAUCUUCUGGGUUAAUACCUCGGGAGGAUGACGGUGCCUGAAGAAUAAGCACCGGCUAACUACGUGCCAGCCGCCGCGGUAA
This 498-nucleotide ribosomal RNA is filed under the name uncultured bacterium. RNAcentral describes it as "partial 16S ribosomal RNA". It matches the Rfam family "Bacterial small subunit ribosomal RNA", at positions 30 to 523 of the family's 1533-position model. The record is from RNAcentral.